Molecule: ribosomal RNA, 2904 nt
Filed under: Escherichia coli
Lineage: Bacteria; Pseudomonadati; Pseudomonadota; Gammaproteobacteria; Enterobacterales; Enterobacteriaceae
Description: 23S ribosomal RNA
Rfam family: Bacterial large subunit ribosomal RNA
Source: RNAcentral
GGUUAAGCGACUAAGCGUACACGGUGGAUGCCCUGGCAGUCAGAGGCGAUGAAGGACGUGCUAAUCUGCGAUAAGCGUCGGUAAGGUGAUAUGAACCGUUAUAACCGGCGAUUUCCGAAUGGGGAAACCCAGUGUGAUUCGUCACACUAUCAUUAACUGAAUCCAUAGGUUAAUGAGGCGAACCGGGGGAACUGAAACAUCUAAGUACCCCGAGGAAAAGAAAUCAACCGAGAUUCCCCCAGUAGCGGCGAGCGAACGGGGAGCAGCCCAGAGCCUGAAUCAGUGUGUGUGUUAGUGGAAGCGUCUGGAAAGGCGCGCGAUACAGGGUGACAGCCCCGUACACAAAAAUGCACAUACUGUGAGCUCGAUGAGUAGGGCGGGACACGUGGUAUCCUGUCUGAAUAUGGGGGGACCAUCCUCCAAGGCUAAAUACUCCUGACUGACCGAUAGUGAACCAGUACCGUGAGGGAAAGGCGAAAAGAACCCCGGCGAGGGGAGUGAAAAAGAACCUGAAACCGUGUACGUACAAGCAGUGGGAGCACGCUUAGGCGUGUGACUGCGUACCUUUUGUAUAAUGGGUCAGCGACUUAUAUUCUGUAGCAAGGUUAACCGAAUAGGGGAGCCGAAGGGAAACCGAGUCUUAACUGGGCGUUAAGUUGCAGGGUAUAGACCCGAAACCCGGUGAUCUAGCCAUGGGCAGGUUGAAGGUUGGGUAACACUAACUGGAGGACCGAACCGACUAAUGUUGAAAAAUUAGCGGAUGACUUGUGGCUGGGGGUGAAAGGCCAAUCAAACCGGGAGAUAGCUGGUUCUCCCCGAAAGCUAUUUAGGUAGCGCCUCGUGAAUUCAUCUCCGGGGGUAGAGCACUGUUUCGGCAAGGGGGUCAUCCCGACUUACCAACCCGAUGCAAACUGCGAAUACCGGAGAAUGUUAUCACGGGAGACACACGGCGGGUGCUAACGUCCGUCGUGAAGAGGGAAACAACCCAGACCGCCAGCUAAGGUCCCAAAGUCAUGGUUAAGUGGGAAACGAUGUGGGAAGGCCCAGACAGCCAGGAUGUUGGCUUAGAAGCAGCCAUCAUUUAAAGAAAGCGUAAUAGCUCACUGGUCGAGUCGGCCUGCGCGGAAGAUGUAACGGGGCUAAACCAUGCACCGAAGCUGCGGCAGCGACGCUGAUGCGUUGUUGGGUAGGGGAGCGUUCUGUAAGCCUGCGAAGGUGUGCUGUGAGGCAUGCUGGAGGUAUCAGAAGUGCGAAUGCUGACAUAAGUAACGAUAAAGCGGGUGAAAAGCCCGCUCGCCGGAAGACCAAGGGUUCCUGUCCAACGUUAAUCGGGGCAGGGUGAGUCGACCCCUAAGGCGAGGCCGAAAGGCGUAGUCGAUGGGAAACAGGUUAAUAUUCCUGUACUUGGUGUUACUGCGAAGGGGGGACGGAGAAGGCUAUGUUGGCCGGGCGACGGUUGUCCCGGUUUAAGCGUGUAGGCUGGUUUUCCAGGCAAAUCCGGAAAAUCAAGGCUGAGGCGUGAUGACGAGGCACUACGGUGCUGAAGCAACAAAUGCCCUGCUUCCAGGAAAAGCCUCUAAGCAUCAGGUAACAUCAAAUCGUACCCCAAACCGACACAGGUGGUCAGGUAGAGAAUACCAAGGCGCUUGAGAGAACUCGGGUGAAGGAACUAGGCAAAAUGGUGCCGUAACUUCGGGAGAAGGCACGCUGAUAUGUAGGUGAAGUCCCUCGCGGAUGGAGCUGAAAUCAGUCGAAGAUACCAGCUGGCUGCAACUGUUUAUUAAAAACACAGCACUGUGCAAACACGAAAGUGGACGUAUACGGUGUGACGCCUGCCCGGUGCCGGAAGGUUAAUUGAUGGGGUCAGCGCAAGCGAAGCUCUUGAUCGAAGCCCCGGUAAACGGCGGCCGUAACUAUAACGGUCCUAAGGUAGCGAAAUUCCUUGUCGGGUAAGUUCCGACCUGCACGAAUGGCGUAAUGAUGGCCAGGCUGUCUCCACCCGAGACUCAGUGAAAUUGAACUCGCUGUGAAGAUGCAGUGUACCCGCGGCAAGACGGAAAGACCCCGUGAACCUUUACUAUAGCUUGACACUGAACAUUGAGCCUUGAUGUGUAGGAUAGGUGGGAGGCUUUGAAGUGUGGACGCCAGUCUGCAUGGAGCCGACCUUGAAAUACCACCCUUUAAUGUUUGAUGUUCUAACGUUGACCCGUAAUCCGGGUUGCGGACAGUGUCUGGUGGGUAGUUUGACUGGGGCGGUCUCCUCCUAAAGAGUAACGGAGGAGCACGAAGGUUGGCUAAUCCUGGUCGGACAUCAGGAGGUUAGUGCAAUGGCAUAAGCCAGCUUGACUGCGAGCGUGACGGCGCGAGCAGGUGCGAAAGCAGGUCAUAGUGAUCCGGUGGUUCUGAAUGGAAGGGCCAUCGCUCAACGGAUAAAAGGUACUCCGGGGAUAACAGGCUGAUACCGCCCAAGAGUUCAUAUCGACGGCGGUGUUUGGCACCUCGAUGUCGGCUCAUCACAUCCUGGGGCUGAAGUAGGUCCCAAGGGUAUGGCUGUUCGCCAUUUAAAGUGGUACGCGAGCUGGGUUUAGAACGUCGUGAGACAGUUCGGUCCCUAUCUGCCGUGGGCGCUGGAGAACUGAGGGGGGCUGCUCCUAGUACGAGAGGACCGGAGUGGACGCAUCACUGGUGUUCGGGUUGUCAUGCCAAUGGCACUGCCCGGUAGCUAAAUGCGGAAGAGAUAAGUGCUGAAAGCAUCUAAGCACGAAACUUGCCCCGAGAUGAGUUCUCCCUGACCCUUUAAGGGUCCUGAAGGAACGUUGAAGACGACGACGUUGAUAGGCCGGGUGUGUAAGCGCAGCGAUGCGUUGAGCUAACCGGUACUAAUGAACCGUGAGGCUUAACCUU